Molecule: ribosomal RNA, 690 nt
Filed under: uncultured Candidatus Tremblayella sp.
Lineage: Bacteria; Pseudomonadati; Pseudomonadota; Betaproteobacteria
Description: bacterial SSU rRNA
Rfam family: Bacterial small subunit ribosomal RNA
Source: RNAcentral
AGUAGCGGUGAAAUGCGUAGAUAUCUGGAGGAAUACCAAAGGCGAAGGCAGUCCCCUGGUCCGAUACUGACACUGAGGUACGAAAGCGUGGGGAGCAAACAGGAUUAGAUACCCUGGUAGUCCACGCCCUAAACGACGUCGAUUAGCCAUUGGAAGGACCCCUUUUCCUUUCAGUGACGUAGCUAACGCGUUAAAUCGACCGCCUGGGAAGUACGACCGCAAGGUUAAAACUCAAAGGAAUUGACGGGGACCUGAACAAGCGGUGAAUGAUGUGGAUUAAUUCGAUGCUACGCGAAGAACCUUACCUACCUUUGACAUGGCCAAAGUUCUACCGAGAGGCGGAAGUACUCGUAAGAGGAUUGGCGCACAGGUGCUGCAUGGUUGUCGUCAGUUCGUGUCGUGAGAUGUUGGGUUCAGUCCCGCAACGAACGCAACCCUUAUCUUUAAUUGCUCCUAUUUUAACAGGCACUUUAAAGAAACUGCCAAUGAUAAGUUGGAGGAAGGUGGGGAUCACGUCAAGUCCGCAUGGCCUUUAUAGGUAGGGCUUCACACGCCAUACAAUGGUUAGAACAAAGAGCUGCAAAUUCGUAAGAAGGAGCCAAUCUCACAAACCUAACCUCAGUUCGAAUUGCGGUCUGCAACUCGAGCGCAUGAAGCCGGAAUCGCUAGUAAUCGUGGAUCAGAAUGCCA